Molecule: ribosomal RNA, 406 nt
Filed under: uncultured bacterium
Lineage: Bacteria
Description: partial 16S ribosomal RNA
Rfam family: Bacterial small subunit ribosomal RNA
Source: RNAcentral
AUUGAACGCUGGCGGCAGGCCUAACACAUGCAAGUCGAGCGAGCGGCGGACGGGUGAGUAAUGUCUGGGAAACUGCCUGAUGGAGGGGGAUAACUCCUGGAAACGGUAGCUAAUACCGCAUACCAUCAGAUGGGCCCAGGUGGGAUUAGCGAGUAGGUGGGGUAACGGCUUGCCUAGGCGACGAUCCCUAGCUGGUCUGAGGGGAUGACCAGCCACAAUGGAACUGAGACACGGUCCAGACUCCUACGGGAGGCAGCAGUGGGGAAUAUUGCACAAUGGGCGCAAGCCUGAUGCAGCCAUGCAGCGUGUGUGAAGAAGGCCUUCGGGUUGUAAAGCACGUUCAGCGGGGAGGCGUUACCCGCAGAAGAAGCACCGGCUAACUCCGUGCCAGCAGCCGCGGUAAUAC